AUUGAACGCUGGCGGCAUGCCUUACACAUGCAAGUCGAACGGCAGCACGGGAGCAAUCCUGGUGGCGAGUGGCGAACGGGUGAGUAAUAUAUCGGAACGUGCCCAGUCGUGGGGGAUAACGUAGCGAAAGCUACGCUAAUACCGCAUACGAUCUACGGAUGAAAGCGGGGGAUCGCAAGACCUCGCGCGAUUGGAGCGGCCGAUAUCAGAUUAGCUAGUUGGUGGGGUAAAAGCUCACCAAGGCGACGAUCUGUAGCUGGUCUGAGAGGACGACCAGCCACACUGGAACUGAGACACGGUCCAGACUCCUACGGGAGGCAGCAGUGGGGAAUUUUGGACAAUGGGCGCAAGCCUGAUCCAGCAAUGCCGCGUGCAGGAUGAAGGCCUUCGGGUUGUAAACUGCUUUUGUACGGAACGAAAAGGUCUGCCCUAAUACGGCGGGCCCAUGACGGUACCGUAAGAAUAAGCACCGGCUAACUACGUG
This 484-nucleotide ribosomal RNA is filed under the name uncultured bacterium. Its description in RNAcentral is "bacterial SSU rRNA". It matches the Rfam family "Bacterial small subunit ribosomal RNA", at positions 30 to 507 of the family's 1533-position model. The record is from RNAcentral.